GUACACGGGCUCGCGUACCGGUACAACACCUGCGAAACAGCCAAACCCGAGCCUCGGGUUUGCACGAAAUUCGUCUGUGUACCGGUACACCAGCCCCGUACCGAUACAGCCAUCAGCGCGUACCGGUACAGCCAUCAACCCCGUACCGGUACACAGCCCUGCUGAGGCUACCCGAGAGCUGACCAAAAAUUCGACUUUUCGGAUUUUGGUGCUAGGUUUUAAACCUCCAAUCUCAGGGCUCG
Molecule: long non-coding RNA, 242 nt
Filed under: Ananas comosus (pineapple)
Lineage: Eukaryota; Viridiplantae; Streptophyta; Magnoliopsida; Poales; Bromeliaceae
Description: long non-coding RNA (ACOM_LNC039732)
Source: RNAcentral